GGGUCGUUAGCUCAGUUGGUAGAGCAGUUGACUUUUAAUCAAUUGGUCGCAGGUUCGAAUCCUGCAC
This 67-nucleotide transfer RNA is filed under the name Escherichia coli. RNAcentral describes it as "tRNA-Lys". It matches the Rfam family "tRNA". Rfam says of the family: Transfer RNA (tRNA) molecules are approximately 80 nucleotides in length. Their secondary structure includes four short double-helical elements and three loops (D, anti-codon, and T loops). Further hydrogen bonds mediate the characteristic L-shaped molecular structure. tRNAs have two regions of fundamental functional importance: the anti-codon, which is responsible for specific mRNA codon recognition, and the 3' end, to which the tRNAs corresponding amino acid is attached (by aminoacyl-tRNA synthetases). tRNAs cope with the degeneracy of the genetic code in two manners: having more than one tRNA (with a specific anti-codon) for a particular amino acid; and 'wobble' base-pairing, i.e. permitting non-standard base-pairing at the 3rd anti-codon position. RNAcentral also lists the same sequence under 33 other names. The record is from RNAcentral. Lineage: Bacteria; Pseudomonadati; Pseudomonadota; Gammaproteobacteria; Enterobacterales; Enterobacteriaceae.